CAAACAGCGGCGAGGCUGGCGGGGCUUGACAUGGUGGAGGAAAGGGACGUACGCCGGGGGCACGGGUACAAAGAGCCCUGCAGUGGGAGAGGCGUGCAAAAUCCUGACGGGAGAGAUGUGGGCAGGAGGGAAUGAAAGGCUUAGACCCCUCCAAAGCAACUGCGCCGAAUUUAUCUAACCCGUUCACAAAAUCACAGAACAGGAGACUCCUGAGUGAAGCUGCUCCAGUGCUGUAUGGUCCAGUCCUCACAGCUGCAAAGGCAUCUCCCGGGAUAUCGCCUGGUUUCAGUCUAAGCCUGCUCAUGGAAUGAUGGACAAGCUAAAGGUUGAGAAAGAGAAAAUACAGUAAAAUGCCUUUCUUAUCCUGUAAUGACCAAGGGGGAGGACACAGCCUGAUAAAAAUGACAAGCAAGAAGAAUCAAGAGCUAGACCCUUCACCUGCCUGUCUCUCAGAGGACAGAAAACACUUGAUAGACCUGCCAUGAUUGCAACUGCUGCAAGCCUGAAAGAAAGGAAUUAAGUUCUGAGUCAAUUAGAGCUACAGGUUUCUGGCCAAAGAAAUGUCCUUCUGCUGCUACUUGUGAAAAGACUAAUCCAGAGACUUACAGGAGAAAAACCUGAAGCAGGCUGAGUGUUGGGACCUAGCAGAACACACAUCUGUAGCCCUGUGUUCUAUGGCCAGAGGGCUUUGCUUAGCAUCUGGUAUCUGCAUCGUUCUGCUGCAGUGAUGGAGGCCCACACAACAUAUAGAUCCAGCUGCUGUCUUGGGCCUAUCUCUAUUUUCAACCAGCUACUUCACUCCUCUGUUUUUACUGGCAUGAGUUUUGACAGCCACCACUAGUGCUGGAUCAGCCAUUUCCUGCCGGUGAGUGACCAGGAGGCAAACAUUUCAUUUGUUAAAGUGCUCCAAAGGCAGCCUAAGCUGCUCCGCGACAAAACACUGCUAGACCUGUGUGCUUUGAGCAAAGCCCCAUCCACCUCCCCUUUAAACAAAUGGAACCUGAGGAUGCCACGGGGAGAGGUAGAUGGGGGAGAUAAUAGGCAUAAGGCUUUAUGUAUUCCUAUGGCUGCUUGAAGUAACCAUCACAGAAACUUCCAUGGAUUUUCUACUCUCCUUCCUUGCUCCUUAAUCUGGAUGGAGACUGAAAGGGGGCUCUUUCUGCUCCUUUAGGUCUGCCCUACUCAGCCUCCCACCACCCCUGCGGCUGUCUCUAGCCCCCCUGCUUGUCCGAAUACCUCCUUUACCAGGUUUGCAAGUUCGCUAGCUGGCCCUUUCUUCCCAUGCUGACCACCAGUACUUCAGGCAAAGAGCCUCAGGUUGUACCAUGUAGUCAGCUGGUGCUGCACGAGGCACUUGCCAGCUUCAAAAAGAAUGGGCUAGUCACUCUUCUCCUUGUUUCCCUGGGUUAAAAUCAUGCUAAGAGCAGGUAGAAUGACCUUCAGUAGUUCCUUUUACUUUCCCGUGCUGUAACUGCCACAGAUACGGUACUAAACUGUAACAGGAGAGGUACCACAAGCAAAUCAUGUCUGUCUGGUGGUCUCUGUAUGAAAACACAGCCCUUGAGCUGGAUGCAGCUGCUGUGUGGUUUGGGGAAGGGGGGGGCUGGAGGACUUGUGUCUUGUCUCUGCCAAGUGGCUUGGGCUUGACUCCACAGCAUGUUAGCCCCAUGGAUCAAAUUGCCCUUUGCAGCAUGCUGUGAAGACAUUUCAGACUCCCUGAUAACUGUACUCCAGGUUAAGUGAUGUGAAACAUCCCCCUCCAAUGCACACUCCAAAUUAAAACCUCACGUCAAACACAGGCAUCCCCAGUUCUUUUUAACUGGGGGAGGGAAAAUAAACCCCACAACUUAAAAGAGGUUUAAAAAUUUAAAUAUAUACUAUUUUCUGAAAGAGACAGGCAAGAAAGCAUUAUGUAUGCAAUGUAUUUCCCAACAAAUGUGAGCAGGGAGCCAAGGUACUGAGGAUAAAGGAAUGGACUGGAAGCAAAAUCCUUGAAAAGUUACUGCGAAUGCUCAAAAGCUGAGUCUCAGUGAAGCUCCGCAGCCAAAUUUACCCAAAGCUUUGAGGAUAUCUGAAUGGAUUGAUCUUUCUUAACUGCUGCGGUCCAGCCUAAAUCCCUCCUUUUGUGAACACCUGCAGUCAGAGAGGUGAGAAUGCCGUCUGGGUUUCUCCAUUUGUACCUUUCUCCAAACAAAGGCUCAGUCUAAGGCAGAGUUGAUCCCCAGCAGUAAAGCAGGCUGGCCCUCCUGUCAGACUCACUAAGGCCCUAAGAAUGGUUAAAGCCCAGCUACUUCCCACGAGGACUUUUGGGAAGCCCCAGUCACCAGACAUGGCAAUGCCCUGUUCAAGGAGGAGUACAAGGAAGGCUACGCCACUGGAGUCAGUCUUGAUCCAUCCAAGAAAGAUCAAUCCAUUCAGAUAUUCCAUUGUGGUUCAGGUUCUCAUUUAAAAAUAUGUGAUCAGGAUGGAAAAGCUUCUUCUAUCUGACCAACCCCAAGAGGAAUACCAUCAGCAGAAGCAGAGUCACUAGGCUAGUCACAAAACCAAACACAGCCCUGUAGAGUCAGGCCUCAACUUUCUGAGGUUUUCACCUUAAGAUCACCUCAGACCUGUACGAUUUUAAACCCCAGUGAUUUUUGUGCUGUAAUUCCAAACAGCGUCACCCACUGAUGGCUCCAGACACCGGGCCACAUCACGUCGCAGUUCCUGAUGCAAAGUAGGUAAAUGGCCAAGCGCACAACAGGCUUUUCCUGGGAAGGCAAGAACAAACUGGGCACAGCAGGUAAACUGGACCCAGCAAAUGUCUGGCAAACAGAAGAUCUAGUCACGCUGCUAGCAUGGGUUAUGAGGAGGGAGCACUACAGGUAACCAAAAAGCCAUCAGUUGGUCAAGCCCUCAAGAGACCGUGCUUGGCAAGAGCUGAAACCUUUCCACAGCAGCAGAAGAGGAAGGGACAUGGGUCAACCCGUAUUGAGGAACCCAGCUUCUCCCACACUGGCUCUGUAAUGAUUAGCUUCACCUUGGCAGCAAAGAGGCUUACUUAAGGGAGAAUCAACUCAGGGCAAGUAAAAGUUCUUCACCCAUCCACAUAUAGCAAAGGCAAAAGAUCAGGGAGCUGAGAGGGACAUGGCUUUGGGUCACUAGUUAGCAGCCAGUCCACCUGUUUGCAGCAGUCUCCCUCAGCAGCAUUAUAAUUUCCCAAGUCAGCAUUUAUAAUCUGACCAUGACCAAAGCCUACCUUGGGGACUUUAGACUGCGCUCUGUACACAACAUCCGUGGAGGAGGAGGGAAGGUGGCUCUACUCUGGCUCCUCCUUCAGUAUAAAGCUCGUCAAACCUGCAUCAAGGCCCGGGAUUUAAGCCUGCAAAGAGCAGCUGCUGGUGCUGCAGAGGACGGUGUGGGGCAUGUGGGCAGAGAGCUGGAGCAGAGGCAGCUGUGGCUGUAACAGGGCUGGGGGUGUGAGGCACUGAACCCUGCGGGUUAGUGAGGUCUGUGACUGAGUUCUCGCUUGUUGCUUUCUGUGGUUUGUGUUGCUGACUUUUGCAAUAUAGAGACCUUUGGUUUCUUGUGGUUUUAUUUGUUCCUUGUUGUGGGGUUUGUAGUGUGGGUUGUUUUGGUUUUUUUUUUCCCUGAGAUGACUGGAGGUGAACUUGCAGCCUGUGAAACAUGGGCAAUUUAACAUGGGCUGCACAGCUUGAUCUGCUUCUGUAGUGAGUAUAUUUGCCUCCUGCUAAGGUGUUUUAAGCAAGGUCAGUGGAAAUAAACACUAUGGGCAGCCAGCUUGAGACAAUUAGCAGAAAACAGAAUGAGAGCCAAUUUGCCCAAGCUGGUCAGGUCAGGAAAUGACAGUCCUCACAAGCCUGUGGCUCAGAGGAGGGAGAUGUCUUUCAGCGGGAACUUCUGUAAAUUCUCCCCUGGCUGAUGCAGACCAGCAUAACUGUACUGAAGUCAGGGAGAGACACUGGUGGAUCCUGGCUGUGUACUUGGGAUAUGUGUGCCAAAGGAUUUUGCUGAAUUUAUUUAGAAUCCUGAUGAAGAUUUUUUUUUUUAAUCUAGCUGCAAUUAGUUUUUUCCUGAUAUUUUGGAUGAUGUUAGGAAAGGGAAUUUGCUUGUCAUGACACUAUUUAUUCUGUGUUUUCUGCAAUACCUUUUUGCUAAAGAGCUGGAAACUACAGAGGUCAAAGUGACCACUAUGGAUAUCCACAAUGUGAGAGUAGCUCUCUACCAGGGUGAAAAUCUGUCUAACAGGCUGAAUGAGGGCACAUUUGCACUCUGAGUUAGGCAGCAAAGGCUGGUAGCAGAACCCCAUGAAAUCAAAAGGUGUUUCCUAUAAAUGCAGAGGCCUUAUGGUAAUAUGGCCCAGUGCAGGGGGACAGUUUCAAUUAAGCUGGAUGGAGGAAGCCAGGAUGUUUUUUCUCAGCUGAAAAGUGUUUUGGCUUCCUUCUGACCAGAGGACAGGAAAAGAUUUUGCUUUGGGAACUGAGGCACCUCUUCUUGGCUUUAUGAUCACUGUGCAACCAGGCUUAAAUGUUCUGGGAGCAAGUUCCAUCAGCUCGUUUCCAGCCAUGGUAGGUCCUGAAAUAGCAAACAUCAGACCUAUGACUGGUUCUUCGACCUAGCAGUGCUAUUUUGGCAGCAGGCCCAGGGUUAAACAUAACAAGAGUAAUUUUCAGUCCUUACUCUCAUGAAGGUCAGUGUCCCAAAUGGUUGGAUGUUUGUCUUAGCUGUUUCCGGACAAGGUCUGCAUUUUGUAAUGAUAAGGUGAAAUUCAGAGGUCCUCAUGCUGGCAGUCUCCUGCUAACUCUAAUUAGAAAGCCUGCUUUUCCUAAAUAAGGAUGUCAGGAUUUUGGUCAUUGCAUUGCCAAUUUUUAAUGGUUAUGACUAUUUUGAGUGGGGUGUUCUUUUGUUGUUGCUGUAAGGGCUCACUGUUCCCUUUUACCUCCAGCCCAUGACUUUCACAGGAUAGUUCAGCCCAUUCUUAGCCUUAAGCCUAGCUUACCAGAAUCGCCCAUUGCCAGGUGAGACUUUGAGGUUCAUUCAUCUGCUCAGGUCACAUGGAGGAAGCAGUCCCCCUCUUAGCAAUAAGCCUGGCUCGCUCUGGCUUGCCAAAUGCCUUCUGAGAUGUGUCUCCUCCCCUCUAAAGCUCCCUCAAAAAGCUAUCAGAGAGGUCAGCCACAAAUUGGUCCCAUUUUUUCUGCCAGACAUCUUUGGCCUUGGCUUUCUCAUCUGGUAG
Falco peregrinus (peregrine falcon) is the source of this 5233-nucleotide long non-coding RNA. RefSeq lists it as uncharacterized. The record is from RefSeq and is a predicted model, not a curated record. NCBI's taxonomy places the organism in Eukaryota, Metazoa, Chordata, Aves, Falconiformes, Falconidae. The transcript is spliced from 2 exons.